RNAcentral lists this transfer RNA (73 nucleotides) under Streptomyces phage phiHau3. RNAcentral's name for it is "tRNA-Trp". It matches the Rfam family "tRNA". From Rfam's summary of the family: Transfer RNA (tRNA) molecules are approximately 80 nucleotides in length. Their secondary structure includes four short double-helical elements and three loops (D, anti-codon, and T loops). The record is from RNAcentral. Lineage: Duplodnaviria; Heunggongvirae; Uroviricota; Caudoviricetes.
GCGUUCGAGCGCGUGGGCGCGGCGCGGUCUCCAAAGCCGCAGUCAGCAGGUUCGACUCCUGCCGGGCGUGCGU